CCUACGGGUGGCAGCAGUGGGGGAUAUUGGACAAUGGGGGGAACCCUGCUCCAGCGACGCCGCGUGAGUGAAGAAGUAUCUCGGUAUGUAAAGCUCUAUCAGCAGGGAAGAAGAAAUGACGGUACCUGAGUACGAAGCCCCGGCUUACUACGUGCCAGCAGCCGCGGGAAUACGUAGGGGGCAAGCGUUAGCCGGAAUUACUGGGUGGAAAGGGGGCGUAGGCGGUGAUGUAAGUCUGGAGGGAAAGGCGGGGGCCCAACCCCCGGACUGCUCUGGAAACUAUGUGACUGGAGUGCAGGAGAGGAGAGCGGAAUGCCUGGUGUAGCGGUGAAAUGCGUAGAUAUUAGGAGGAACACCAGUGGCGAAGGCGGCUCACUGGACUGUAACUGACGUUGAGGCUCGAAAGCGUGGGGAGCAAACAGGAUUAGAUACCCGUGUAGUC
This 442-nucleotide ribosomal RNA is filed under the name uncultured bacterium. Its description in RNAcentral is "partial 16S ribosomal RNA". It matches the Rfam family "Bacterial small subunit ribosomal RNA", at positions 338 to 795 of the family's 1533-position model. The record is from RNAcentral.